AACUACUACAGCCUUCCAUUUUGCCAUCCGUCUGGCAGUGCUGCACACAAAUGGGGUGGCCUUGGUGAGGUCCUGGGAGGAAAUGAACUUAUUGAUAGCAAGAUUGACUUAAAGUUCCUGAGGAAUGUGGAAAAAGGCUCCAUUUGUUCACUUGAACUUGAUGAAGCUAAAGUCAAACAAUUUAAGGAUGCAAUUGAGAAUAACUACUGGUUUGAAUUCUUCAUGGAUGACCUGCCAUUAUGGGGCUUUGUUGGUGAGUUGCAAUCCUGACAAGAACAGUGAUAAAGGCAAGCAUGUCCUUUACACACAUAAGAG
Molecule: unclassified non-coding RNA, 315 nt
Filed under: Hevea brasiliensis (rubber tree)
Lineage: Eukaryota; Viridiplantae; Streptophyta; Magnoliopsida; Malpighiales; Euphorbiaceae
Source: RNAcentral